RNAcentral lists this long non-coding RNA (1103 nucleotides) under Parus major (Great Tit). RNAcentral describes it as "lncRNA (ENSPMJG00000011821.1)". The record is from RNAcentral. Lineage: Eukaryota; Metazoa; Chordata; Aves; Passeriformes; Paridae.
CUUGCAUGGAGUUUUUGUCUGAAAAUAACUACCAUGAAGGAUCACUCCAGAGAGGACAAAAUAUUUUAGGCUCCCUCUUUUUAAGAGCUGGGGUGUUGCCUGUGCUUAGGGCAUUCUAGUAGAUCUCUUUUUUCAGAAUUUCUGGUUUAUUCUGUGAGUAACUCUGGCCAUGAAGAAGAACAACUACAUAAAUUACAGUGUGGGAUUUUGUUUUUUAAAAUGAUAUUAAGGCAUUUCUACAGCCUGUGUUUAGACACACAGAGCUAUGCUGUGAAGGAUCCAGGCACAAACGCUGAGUUUUGGCAUCAAUUUCGAGGAUAAUGUCAUGGAGACUUCCAAAGAUGUUUCAAGUCAAAGGAAUGGCUGGGCACAAGUGGUUUGAACUUGGUGGGAUUCCCAGUAGGACCAUUGCAAUAUCUCCAGGUUUGGAGAUUUAAAAUUUUAGCCUUACAUUAGUAACUUUGGUUCCACAGCUGGAAGUUUUAUUGAAACCUCCCUGAAAAGGAUUGUAAGAGCAAAUUGCUUGAAAUGGCAGGAUUUAGAAUGGGUUCAGGGAAUGAAGAAACAGAUGAUGAGAGGAUCAAGGAGAAGAUGAGUUUAUUAAAACUCAGAAUAUGAUAGCAGAGGUACAAAAAUUACGUUAGUGAAGCAUAAUGUGGAAUUAAAACAAUCCAGAUGUUGCAGACUAUGAUGAACUAUGGGAAGAAAUACAUCCCAAGGAUUGAGGCAACAUGAGGACAGCCAGUCACUGUAGCUGCAAACAUGAUUCUAAUAACUCAGCAAAAGCACAAAGGAGCAGGACAGCACCAUGGAGGUGGAGUUGCAAGGCAGACAGAGGGAUGGAAUCUCCAUCCAGCCCUAUGGAUCCUUCUUGUCUGUUGAAUUAAAACCAGAACUGAGUUUUGGCCCUAAAGCUGGUGAUGAAAAACAGUCUUGUAGGUGAAUGAAGUAUUUUCAAUUGAGCAGUUUAUAAUGGUCAUGGACUAUUUAUGAUGGAGAUGCAUUUUUACAUUUCUAGGCAGGGUUCAGCCCUGCUGGCAUUCAGACUGAUGAUGUAUUAGGACACUUGCAGUGUUCAAUAAAUUCCUGUUUAUUUUGAAUCA